CAAGAUAUUAACUUACAUCCUCUGAAUGCAACUCAGACUCUUUUAAUUAAGAUAAAGCUCUCUAGAAUGA
RNAcentral lists this transfer RNA (70 nucleotides) under Lithobates chiricahuensis. RNAcentral's name for it is "Rana chiricahuensis tRNA-Ala". Lineage: Eukaryota; Metazoa; Chordata; Amphibia; Anura; Ranidae. The record is from RNAcentral.